AGCGCAGGCGGGAAGACAAGUUGGAAGUGAAAUCUAUGGGCUCAACCCAUAAACUGCUUUCAAAACUGUUUUUCUUGAGUAGUGCAGAGGUAGGCGGAAUUCCCGGUGUAGCGGUGGAAUGCGUAGAUAUCGGGAGGAACACCAGUGGCGAAGGCGGCCUACUGGGCACCAACUGACGCUGAGGCUCGAAAGUGUGGGUAACAAACA
RNAcentral lists this ribosomal RNA (207 nucleotides) under uncultured bacterium. RNAcentral describes it as "partial 16S ribosomal RNA". It matches the Rfam family "Bacterial small subunit ribosomal RNA", at positions 568 to 774 of the family's 1533-position model. The record is from RNAcentral.